UAAGGAAUAUUGGACAAUGGAGGCAAAUCUGAUCCAGCCAUGCCGCGUGCAGGAAGACGGCCCUAUGGGUUGUAAACUGCUUUUGUAUGGGAGCAAUAAGGACUACGUGUAGUUUGAUGAGAGUACCAUACGAAUAAGCAUCGGCUAACUCCGUGCCAGCAGCCGCGGUAAUACGGAGGAUGCGAGCGUUAUCCGGAUUUAUUGGGUUUAAAGGGUGCGUAGGCGGCGAUAUAAGUCAGUGGUGAAAUAUUUCGGCUUAACCGAGAGACUGCCAUUGAUACUGUGUUGCUAGAAUAUGGUUGCUGUGAGUGGAAUGUGUGGUGUAGCGGUGAAAUGCUUAGAUAUCACACAGAAUAUCGAUUGCGAAGGCAGCUCACAAAGCCAUUAUUGACGCUGAGGCACGAAAGUGUGGGGAUCAAACA
This 422-nucleotide ribosomal RNA is filed under the name uncultured bacterium. RNAcentral describes it as "bacterial SSU rRNA". It matches the Rfam family "Bacterial small subunit ribosomal RNA", at positions 355 to 774 of the family's 1533-position model. The record is from RNAcentral.